Molecule: ribosomal RNA, 867 nt
Rfam family: Eukaryotic large subunit ribosomal RNA
UAGCAUAUCAAUAAGCGGAGGAAAAGAAACCAACAGGGAUUGCCCCAGUAACGGCGAGUGAAGCGGCAACAGCUCAAAUUUGAAAUCUGGCCCCUAGGGUCCGAGUUGUAAUUUGUAGAGGAUGCUUUUGGCGCGGCGCCUUCCGAGUUCCCUGGAACGGGACGCCAUAGAGGGUGAGAGCCCCGUCUGGUUGGAUGCCUAGCCUCUGUAAAGCUCCUUCGACGAGUCGAGUAGUUUGGGAAUGCUGCUCUAAAUGGGAGGUAUAUGUCUUCUAAAGCUAAAUACCGGCCAGAGACCGAUAGCGCACAAGUAGAGUGAUCGAAAGAUGAAAAGCACUUUGAAAAGAGGGUUAAAUAGUACGUGAAAUUGUUGAAAGGGAAGCGUUUGUGACCAGACUUGGGCCCGGUUGAUCAUCCAGCGUUUUCGCUGGUGCACUCUGCCGGCCCAGGCCAGCAUCAGUUCGCGCCGGGGGAUAAAGGCUUCGGGAAUGUGGCUCCUCGGAGUGUUAUAGCCCGUUGUGUAAUACCCUGGUGCGGACUGAGGUUCGCGCUCCGCAAGGAUGCUGGCGUAAUGGUCAUCAGCGACCCGUCUUGAAACACGGACCAAGGAGUCGUCUUCGUAUGCGAGUGUUCGGGUGUCAAACCCCUACGCGUAAUGAAAGUGAACGCAGGUGAGAGCUUCGGCGCAUCAUCGACCGAUCCUGAUGUUCUCGGAUGGAUUUGAGUAAGAGCAUACGGGGCCGGACCCGAAAGAAGGUGAACUAUGCCUGUAUAGGGUGAAGCCAGAGGAAACUCUGGUGGAGGCUCGCAGCGGUUCUGACGUGCAAAUCGAUCGUCAAAUAUGGGCAUGGGGGCGAAAGACUAAUCG